Molecule: ribosomal RNA, 557 nt
Filed under: Pediococcus pentosaceus
Lineage: Bacteria; Bacillati; Bacillota; Bacilli; Lactobacillales; Lactobacillaceae
Description: bacterial SSU rRNA
Rfam family: Bacterial small subunit ribosomal RNA
Source: RNAcentral
UUGAGAUUUUAACACGAAGUGAGUGGCGAACGGGUGAGUAACACGUGGGUAACCUGCCCAGAAGUAGGGGAUAACACCUGGAAACAGAUGCUAAUACCGUAUAACAGAGAAAACCGCAUGGUUUUCUUUUAAAAGAUGGCUCUGCUAUCACUUCUGGAUGGACCCGCGGCGUAUUAGCUAGUUGGUGAGGUAAAGGCUCACCAAGGCAGUGAUACGUAGCCGACCUGAGAGGGUAAUCGGCCACAUUGGGACUGAGACACGGCCCAGACUCCUACGGGAGGCAGCAGUAGGGAAUCUUCCACAAUGGACGCAAGUCUGAUGGAGCAACGCCGCGUGAGUGAAGAAGGGUUUCGGCUCGUAAAGCUCUGUUGUUAAAGAAGAACGUGGGUAAGAGUAACUGUUUACCCAGUGACGGUAUUUAACCAGAAAGCCACGGCUAACUACGUGCCAGCAGCCGCGGUAAUACGUAGGUGGCAAGCGUUAUCCGGAUUUAUUGGGCGUAAAGCGAGCGCAGGCGGUCUUUUAAGUCUAAUGUGAAAGCCUUCGGCUCAACCGAA